AGAGUUUGAUCAUGGCUCAGGAUGAACGCUGGCGGCGUGCCUAACACAUGCAAGUCGAGCGAUUCUCUUCGGAGAAGAGCGGCGGACGGGUGAGUAACGCGUGGGUAACCUGCCCUGUACACACGGAUAACAUACCGAAAGGUAUGCUAAUACGGGAUAACAUGUUUUGAUCGCAUGGUCGAAAUAUCAAAGCUCCGGCGGUACAGGAUGGACCCGCGUCUGAUUAGCUAGUUGGUGAGGUAACGGCUCACCAAGGCGACGAUGAUUAGCCGACCUGAGAGGGUGAUCGGCCACAUUGGGACUGAGACACGGCCCAAACUCCUACGGGAGGCAGCAGUAGGGAAUAUUGCGCAAUGGGGGGAACCCUGACGCAGCAACGCCGCGUGAGUGAUGAAGGUUUUCGGAUCGUAAAACUCUGUCAUUGGGGACGAAUAAAUUGACGGUACCCAAGAAGGAAGCCCCGGCUAACUACGUGCCAGCAGCCGCGGUAAUACGUAGGGGGCGAGCGUUGUCCGGAAUCACUGGGCGUAAAGAGUAUGUAGGCGGCAUUUUAAGUCAGAUGUGAAAGUUCACGGCUCAACCGGGAAAGUGCAUCUGAAACUGGAAUGCUUGAAUAUCGGAGGGGCAAGCGGAAUUCUUAGUGUAGCGGUGAAAUGCGUAGAGAUUAGGAAGAACACCGGUGGCGAAGGCGGCUUGCUGGACGAAUAUUGACGCUGAGAUACGAAAGCGUGGGGAGCAAACAGGAUUAGAUACCCUGGUAGUCCACGCUGUAAACGAUGAAUACUAGGUGUUGGGGAAACUCAGUGCCGCAGUUAACACAAUAAGUAUUCCGCCUGGGGAGUACGCACGCAAGUGUGAAACUCAAAGGAAUUGACGGGGGCCCGCACAAGCAGCGGAGCAUGUGGUUUAAUUCGAAGCAACGCGAAGAACCUUACCAGGUCUUGACAUCCCUUGAUUGCCUAAGAGAUUAGGAGUUCCUUCGGGACAAGGAGACAGGUGGUGCAUGGUUGUCGUCAGCUCGUGUCGUGAGAUGUUGGGUUAAGUCCCGCAACGAGCGCAACCCCUAUGUUUAGUUACUAACAUUUAGUUGAGGACUCUAGACAGACUGCCCGUGAAAGCGGGAGGAAGGUGGGGAUGACGUCAAAUCAUCAUGCCCCUUAUGACCUGGGCUACACACGUGCUACAAUGGUCCGUACAGAGGGUAGCGAAAGAGCAAUCUGGAGCCAAUCUCAAAAAACGGAUCUCAGUUCGGAUUGCAGGCUGCAACUCGCCUGCAUGAAGUUGGAGUUGCUAGUAAUCGCAGAUCAGAAUGCUGCGGUGAAUGCGUUCCCGGGCCUUGUACACACCGCCCGUCACACCAUGAGAGUCGGUAACGCCCAAAGUCAGUGAGCUAACCAUUUAUGGAGGCAGCUGCCUAAGGCGGGAUCGGUGAUUGGGGUGAAGUCGUAACAAGGUA
Molecule: ribosomal RNA, 1456 nt
Filed under: uncultured bacterium
Lineage: Bacteria
Description: bacterial SSU rRNA
Rfam family: Bacterial small subunit ribosomal RNA
Source: RNAcentral